GACGAACGCUGGCGGCGUGCCUAAUACAUGCAAGUAGAACGCACAGUUUAUACUGUAGCUUGCUACACCAUAGACUGUGAGUUGCGAACGGGUGAGUAACGCGUAGGUAACCUGCCUGGUAGCGGGGGAUAACUAUUGGAAACGAUAGCUAAUACCGCAUAAUAUUGAUUAUUGCAUGAUAAUUGAUUGAAAGAUGCUAUUGCAUCACUACCAGAUGGACCUGCGUUGUAUUAGCUAGUAGGUGAGGUAACGGCUCACCUAGGCGACGAUACAUAGCCGACCUGAGAGGGUGAUCGGCCACACUGGGACUGAGACACGGCCCAGACUCCUACGGGAGGCAGCAGUAGGGAAUCUUCGGCAAUGGACGAAAGUCUGACCGAGCAACGCCGCGUGAGUGAAGAAGGUUUUCGGAUCGUAAAGCUCUGUUGUAAGAGAAGAACGGGUGUGAGAGUGGAAAGUUCACACUGUGACGGUAUCUUACCAGAAAGGGACGGCUAACUACGUG
Molecule: ribosomal RNA, 505 nt
Filed under: uncultured bacterium
Lineage: Bacteria
Description: partial 16S ribosomal RNA
Rfam family: Bacterial small subunit ribosomal RNA
Source: RNAcentral